Molecule: long non-coding RNA, 1301 nt
Organism: Etheostoma spectabile (orangethroat darter)
Lineage: Eukaryota; Metazoa; Chordata; Actinopteri; Perciformes; Percidae
Exons: 3
Source: RefSeq, a predicted model, not a curated record
ACGCCGCUGAUUGGCUGGCACGUUGCCAGAACUCUGUCAAUCACCGAGUGUAAACAAGGCUCUGAUUGGCUGCUGGCCAGUCCGCACUGGGCUGCCUGAAAAAAGCAAUUACUGCCCCUGCGGUUUCAAGGCGGCCCCGCGCUGAACGAUGAAAGGAGAUAAGGAGGGGCGGUUUCAAGGCGACCCCCCCACGGCGAACCCCGUUGGCCCCAGAGCAAAAGGAGAGUCAAGAGUGACUAAAUCAAAGGGAAUACGAAAAUGGAGGAGAGAACGGCACCAAGGACCGGAAAACAGCUAUCGCUCUGCUUCGGGGAGCUCCUUCUCACAAACACGGAGAGAAAAGUUUGUGUCGACAAAGGAGACGGUGGACACAGAGCGAUAGGAACCACAACAAACAGCAAAGGCACAGAAGAAGAAGAAGAAGAAGAAGAAGAAGAAGAAGAAGAAGAAGAAAUGAUGGAGUCAUAAGUUGACUGGACACAAAAACAACACGACCUUUUCUUCUCUGUGUGCGCAGGACAGAUGCUGCUAUUUCUGAUCGCCCUGACACACAGACUCAGGACGGAUCAUGCAUUGUGAAAUGCUUGGCAUGAAAAAAAAACAAAACGCUGUACUCCUCCUUACAGCGCUUUGAAAGACUCCAAACUGUUAGAUGAGGAUGAGGGUGCAGUGGAAGAAGAUGAUGAUUGUGAUAUUGAUGGUGGCGAGGAAAAAAGCUUGGGCAACAAAUUAGUGGCUGUCACACAGCCAUAUAUCCGGCUGUAACCACCACCAGGCCUGUAUGGAUGAGAUGAAAGCAUCCAUUUAUGGACCAUCAAAACACGCAGGUGGAGGCUUUAAUUAUCAUUUGAACAUAAACAGCCAUAGCGUGCCGUCCCGCGCGUGUUUGCACUGUAAGCUUAUGUAGUUCCUAUUCAAACAGCAGUGGGUUAUUUCAUCUUUUCUGAACAGAGCAGAUCGUGAAGUGUUGAUAUCAUACACAAUGGGAUUAAAUAUAUGGUGUGCCUGAUUUUGUGUAUUUGUUUCCCAACAUUUCUACAACGCCUGCCCCUCUGCCUCGGCCACAACGUGCGCACAAUGGCACCGUGUGCGCGCAUAUACUUUCAUCAAAAUUAAAGACACCGUUUUGGGGUUUUUUUUUUCUGCUUUGGUCCAAGCAGCGCACUGAGAUCAUAAAACAUGUGUUGUUAAAUUGGAAAAGCUCCCCAAAAUAAAGUUAAAAGUGUACGGGCCAAAGGGUCAACAGGUCAGCUGACAUUCUGCAAUUCAUCUCUCAAGGAUUUUAAGAAACCCAAUUGAUU